This 223-nucleotide ribosomal RNA is filed under the name uncultured bacterium. RNAcentral describes it as "partial 16S ribosomal RNA". It matches the Rfam family "Bacterial small subunit ribosomal RNA", at positions 116 to 334 of the family's 1533-position model. The record is from RNAcentral.
CGUAGGUAACCUGCCUGGUAGCGGGGGAUAACUAUUGGAAACGAUAGCUAAUACCGCAUAACAGCAAAUGUUGCAUGGCAUUUGCUUAAAAGGUGCAAUUGCAUCACUACCAGAUGGACCUGCGUUGUAUUAGCUAGUUGGUGGGGUAACGGCUCACCAAGGCGACGAUACAUAGCCGACCUGAGAGGGUGAUCGGCCACACUGGGACUGAGACACGGCCCAG